RNAcentral lists this ribosomal RNA (468 nucleotides) under uncultured Clostridium sp. RNAcentral describes it as "bacterial SSU rRNA". It matches the Rfam family "Bacterial small subunit ribosomal RNA", at positions 40 to 523 of the family's 1533-position model. Lineage: Bacteria; Bacillati; Bacillota; Clostridia; Eubacteriales; Clostridiaceae. The record is from RNAcentral.
CGGCGUGCUUAACACAUGCAAGUCGAGCGAUGAAGUUUCCUUCGGGAAACGGAUUAGCGGCGGACGGGUGAGUAACACGUGGGUAACCUGCCUCAUAGAGUGGAAUAGCCUUCCGAAAGGAAGAUUAAUACCGCAUAAUGUUGAAAGAUGGCAUCAUCAUUCAACCAAAGGAGCAAUCCGCUAUGAGAUGGACCCGCGGCGCAUUAGCUAGUUGGUGGGGUAACGGCCUACCAAGGCGACGAUGCGUAGCCGACCUGAGAGGGUGAUCGGCCACAUUGGGACUGAGACACGGCCCAGACUCCUACGGGAGGCAGCAGUGGGGAAUAUUGCACAAUGGGGGAAACCCUGAUGCAGCAACGCCGCGUGAGUGAUGAAGGUUUUCGGAUCGUAAAGCUCUGUCUUUGGGGAAGAUAAUGACGGUACCCAAGGAGGAAGCCACGGCUAACUACGUGCCAGCAGCCGCGGUAA